Molecule: long non-coding RNA, 2699 nt
Organism: Aplysia californica (California sea hare)
Lineage: Eukaryota; Metazoa; Mollusca; Gastropoda; Aplysiida; Aplysiidae
Exons: 3
Source: RefSeq, a predicted model, not a curated record
AUUUAAUUAAGGAGUGUCUUUCGCCUGCAGCUCAAGUAGUGAUGUGAUGUUUUCUGCUCUUGAUGUUUCUGUCUCAGUGCUAUAUCAAUUUUUGAAAAGUCAAUUCUCUUACCUUUGACUUGAAUCCAAGCACAGGGUCGUGGAAUGGGAAUUUUGAUUAGCUUCUCUAAAGACAAUUCUAGAGUUUGCGAUAGAUGUGCGUAAUUUACUCUUUCCUGUCCUUUGGUCUGAUUCGGUUGAUAUUCUGAUUGAUCGAUCACGCAGUCUUCAUCAGUAUUAAGAUGUUGUCAUUUGUUAUCGAUUUUAUGUUACUUUGGUUUUACAACCCAAGGUAGUCUGUUGACGGACAAAAAUAAUUCAUACUUGCUGUUGCCUGACAUCGAACGUGAUGGGGGAAAUGACUUUAUUUCUUAGAAGUACCCCCUGCUUUGUGGGUUUUUUUUCCUGUUUCUAUAAUUAAGGCCACUUUCAUUGUUAGCAAAAGUCAUUGCAUUAACAUUCACAGAAUUCAAUUUUUAUCUAGUCCAAUAAAGCAUUCUUCAGCUUGGUUUAACAUAACUUCCAGUCCUUGCUCAAGGGCACAUCAUGCAACUGACAACCGUUUAAAUGACGUCUUAUUGACAUUAUGAGAGAAGCUACAAAGAUGUUAGGACAUGGACAUGAUAAUAAGUAGUGGCAAUCACUGUCUAGAGCUUUAAAAAAACCGUUAGUUUAGAACAGAUUUCAAAAGGAAAAUAGGAGGUAAGAAAAAAGAAGAAUGUGUAAGAGAUGAAAUACGGCUUGAUGUUUUUCUUUGGUUAUGGUUUUGUUUUCUUAUUUUAUUUUUCCAGCAAUGGGGAUCGUAUUGACCUGACCUCCCGCUAAUGUCCCAGUGGGGGUGAGUUAUCUUCCAGGAUGUUUGCGUCCAGAAAAAUCAGAUUGUGUUUCUGGGUCAGGUCUCAACGUUAUGUCAGAACGUUCGAGGGGCUAAUGAGUAUGACACUAGUUGCUUAAUUAGCCCUGCAAGUCCUGCGCAGUAUGGAACAUUAGUACGGUAUCCGUUACAAAAAUCCUGGUUGUUUUAUUGAUAACACAUGUUGUGCCUGUUUUUGAGAAUUAUGCUAAGAUCAAGGGGGAUAAAAACGUAUAAGUUAUGAUGGGAUGCGUGGUUUUUUCACUUUGAAGAACUUACCUGUUUUUAAUUCAGAAUUGUCUUGGUACAAAAGACCUUACGCGCUUCAAACUUCAUUAUAUUUAUGAUUAUUUCUUUCACUUUACGUUCGAUUAACAUCUCCAAAGUUGUUGGGUUUUUUAAAUUGGCUUUUAAAAGUAGAAUACAUACCUACCUAGGGAAUUGGACAUUGCGGAAAGGAAACUGUUCCUUUUCCUUUUUUUCUUCUUUUACGCUAUCUUGUCUUGUAUUUAAUCGAGCACAAAGAAUGCAGUUACAUGAUUGUGACUGAUGGCUUCGAUAAAUCCUUCCCUCCCCUGGAACUUUAGAGUUUCGAGUUGCUUGUGUGUGAAAAAGUUCAGGUGUGAACCUCGGGCCAGGGAAGGGAGCAGGUAGCUGAGCUCUCCCCCUCCACCUCCGCCCCCUCCACAUCUAUAAAGUUUACCCUCAUAGCUCAUUUAGCCCUCACGUCAGCUAUUUUUAGCUUCGACCUCCUCCCCUUUCCCAAAUGAAGCCGAGUGUGAGCAGACAGAAUACACCUCGCUCUAGUCUCUUCUCCUCUCACUUUAAUUUUCGACCACCUCGUGGAAGGGAUUUUUAACGUCUCCUCAUCCAACACAUGUGAGGAGAGGUUGCAAGAAAAACAUGUGGUGAACGGGACGUGAUCUCAGACCAGUAACUUUUCGUCUAAAACUUUUGGAAGAAGAAUCUUCCAAUUCCUUCCUUCGAGGCCUGUGAGGCUGAGGAUACAAGAUACUUAUAUCACCCCCCCCCCCCCCCCCCUCAUAAUUUGGACAUCGCGUGGGGUUACUGUGAGUGUGAGCGCUUGCGGGUCGAGAUAGAUACCGAGAGAGAGAGAAAGAGAGAGAGAGAGAGAGAGAGAGAAAGAGAGAGAGAGAGAGAGAGAGAGAGAAAGAGAGAGAGAGAGGGAGAGACUCGCAGUACCAUGUCCAUGGAUCCCAACCUUCCCCUCCACGAGGCCAUGGUGCUCGACGUUUGAAGUUGAUAAGUGUUUCCAGUACGUCUUCGAUAAUGAAUGGCGGGAUGCAGCCGGAAGUUUUGGAGAUAGUUCGGUAUUCUUCCGGAAGUAGUCGAGAUAGGUCGUCAUGUUUCUGAAAACAGUGGAAUUAGAAACAGCAAAAGAAACGGAUUAAGUACUGAAUGAAGUUGCUUCGAACGCUGAGCUUGCUUCUACAUCGAUGUGUCUACAAAAUAGACUUACUCGAAAAAGGGUUAUGUUAGAGUUCUGAUGUUGCCUUCUCAAUCAAACUUCCUUGCUUUAACUUUUUACAUGUGUCAGCUUUACGUGAAUGUUGAGUAAAUAAGGUUGUGGAUGUCUCUGAGCUGAACAAUGAAGGAUCUUGGGAAAUUUUGUGUUGGCUGUAUUCAAGACGGGGAUUCCCCGGAGAACGAAGAUGGAGGUUUUACAGUACGGCGGACUGCAGUGAUGACCACGUGCGUGCCUCAGGUCACCAACGAACUGGUGAGUACACAUGUCUGUAUGUGUGUGUUUGUGUUUGUGUGUGUAUGUCAAUGUGUGUGUGCGUAU